This 254-nucleotide ribosomal RNA is filed under the name uncultured bacterium. Its description in RNAcentral is "partial 16S ribosomal RNA". It matches the Rfam family "Bacterial small subunit ribosomal RNA", at positions 524 to 776 of the family's 1533-position model. The record is from RNAcentral.
UACGUAGGGUGCGAGCGUUGUCCGGAAUUACUGGGCGUAAAGAGCUUGUAGGUGGUUUGUCGCGUUGUUCGUGAAAUCUCACGGCUUAACUGUGAGCGUGCGGGCGAUACGGGCAGACUAGAGUACUGCAGGGGAGACUGGAAUUCCUGGUGUAGCGGUGGAAUGCGCAGAUAUCAGGAGGAACACCGGUGGCGAAGGCGGGUCUCUGGGACGGUACUGACGCUGGAGACGCGAAAGCGUGGGGAGCGAACAGG